UCGGCGCAAGUGAAAUACCACUA
This 23-nucleotide non-coding RNA is filed under the name Arabidopsis thaliana (thale cress). The record is from RNAcentral. Lineage: Eukaryota; Viridiplantae; Streptophyta; Magnoliopsida; Brassicales; Brassicaceae.